GCCGCUCCAGUCGGCCUCGUGUCUAAGAAGCUGUGGAGUUUGUGCCCUUCACCCUUGCAUUUGUCUGACUGUACCCCCGUGGGGAUUCUGCCCUGCUCACCCGCAGUGCUUCUCUUGGUGGUGCAGAUUCGUGGCUGUUGGUGUGGAGCGUGGCUGGCACUGCUCAGAGUGCCUGAGAGGAAGGAUAGGCACCUUGUGUGGUCUUGCAGACGUGCCAAGGCUGCUAUGCAGCUCUGACUGCAUGGGGGCUGAGGAGGGGGCUUGCAGUGGUGGCCACAGCCAGCAAGGGGCCUUUACUGAAGAGAAAUGAGGAUUCUUGCAUCUAGGUUCAGGUCCAUGGUGGAACAGACCAGACUCAGUGGGGCCCUGAGUUCAUCCUGGUCUGAGAGCAGUGCUGCUUGGGAAUGUAUCAGAAGAUCCAGGACUGGGAACUUCCAUGCUGCCUCCAGCAGGAAAGAAGGUGCCUGUUUCAGAAGCUGACUUUCGAAAAGCUUCAGUGACCAUCCUUCUCUCUUGGUUGAGCUGUGUGAGUGUACCCGGAGAAAUGCGAGAAGCAGAAUUGCUAACUUGGAGAGUCAGGUACAUUUAUAAUCGUUACACCUAUUAUAAAGUCAAUGUCAUGUUUUAAAUUGUCACAUGUAUUGGCU
Molecule: long non-coding RNA, 647 nt
Filed under: Castor canadensis (American beaver)
Lineage: Eukaryota; Metazoa; Chordata; Mammalia; Rodentia; Castoridae
Description: lncRNA (ENSCCNG00000021388.1)
Source: RNAcentral